This is a long non-coding RNA of Asparagus officinalis (garden asparagus), 732 nucleotides long. RefSeq lists it as uncharacterized. The record is from RefSeq and is a predicted model, not a curated record. Lineage: Eukaryota; Viridiplantae; Streptophyta; Magnoliopsida; Asparagales; Asparagaceae. The transcript has 2 exons.
ACCUCCACCGCCAUCCUCUCCCUCAAGUCUGCCCCUCCCCCCACCGCCCGCUCCGUCGUCCACCGCAGCCUCAUCGCCGACCGCCAUAACAGACGCCGCGGCACCGCCUCCACCCUAGACCAAGUCGAUCGCCACUUCCAGUCAACGCCUUGCCUCCGACUCCGGCCCCUCUUCUCCGGCGACCUAUCCUCCCCCCUUUCCUUUGUCUUCUGCCAUUUGCCGCCCUGAACCAUCGCAUCUAUUGAUCUCAAAUGGAUAAAAAAUAGAGAUGCAGGCUAGCAAUCAUUAAAGUGCUUGCCUUGUAUCUUCUCUGAGUUAAUCAGUUAACCUCAUUAGGAUACUGUUAAUCAAACUUUGGCAGGAAUUAGGAAGUCAGCAUAGGGGAGGAUCAGGGCAAAGGCUCCUCCUACUGACGAUUUAUUGUUGUAUGCUAUUGCUGCUUGUGUGCUGCAGAAGAGGGAGUUGAUAAUUGCGAGAAGCAGCAGCAUGGAUGAGAUCAUGAGAGAAUGCAAUAGCUUGUCCGGGCAACUAGAUUUCGGCAUUUCGCUCCCUUCUCCUGUUGGGCAACAACAUCACUGCCAAUUUGGAGUCAGUUCGGAGAAAAAAAUGUUUUUGUAAUCCUGCUGGGUAAGAUUAUAUUGAGUUAAUACAGGCCCGGCCAAUGUAAUCAGAUUAUUCUCUUGAUUUUUUAUAAUUUACGGAGGUAAUAUGAGUUGGGGCUUAUAACUUGAA